This is a non-coding RNA of Pelobates cultripes (western spadefoot toad), 219 nucleotides long. Lineage: Eukaryota; Metazoa; Chordata; Amphibia; Anura; Pelobatidae. The record is from the annotation of a GenBank genome assembly.
CUACGAAAUAGAGCAUUCCCUCCGGGCAUGGCAGCGCGCAACUUUAGGAAUCUAGAGAGAAUAGGUCUGCAGCGCAUAUAUCAGCUGGUGCAGGAUGCAGAGGUAGUGACUUUCGACGCCUUACAACAAAGGGGGCAUCUCACUCCCGCAGACUUUUUCAGGUACCUACAAAUAAAAGAUUUUGCAAAACUGACAUGGGUCCGAGCGGCGGCCCUAAAG